Strigops habroptila (Kakapo) is the source of this 2303-nucleotide long non-coding RNA. RefSeq lists it as uncharacterized. The transcript has 3 exons. The record is from RefSeq and is a predicted model, not a curated record. NCBI's taxonomy places the organism in Eukaryota, Metazoa, Chordata, Aves, Psittaciformes, Psittacidae.
AGGGGCGGUGCAGGGCGGGAGGUAUUUUCCCGGCGGCGGCGUCAGGGGUGGACUCAGGGGCGGAAGGAGCAGAAGCAGCAGCGGCGGCGGGCGAGCUUUAUGCCUGUUUUAUUUCACUGCAAUCCAGUUUAAUGGAGCUGGAGCGACUGCACCGGGCCCGGCCCACGCCCCAGGAUGGACCUGAGACCCACAGCCACCCCCACACUGUUCCUUGGCGAUCCUGUGACACCCCAUAGAUAUGCCACAGCGACCCAUAGACACACACCCCCCCAGCCCCGUAGUGCCCUAUAGGCCCACAACACGUGUCCCCCAGCUUUUAUUGACUCCUGGCGUCAUGAUGUCACCAGGACCGCGAUGACAUCGUCAGCAUCAUCAAUGACACAGUGCCCCAUAGGGCCCCCACUACCCCCCGCAACCUUGACCUAGAGAACUCCAUGGAAACCUCAUAGAGCCCCAUAGACCCCAGUAGAUCCCUUAUAUGCCCCCCCAGCCUCAUAGAGUCUCUAUAGAUAUCCCAUAGGGUCCCAGAGCGACCCAUAGGCACCCUACAUGAACUCUUGAUGAAGCAUGGACACGCCAUAGUGGUCUUCAGACACCCAUAGGCGGCCCCUAGCCACCCAUAGACAUCCCAUAGCCAUCCACAGCACCCCAUGGACACCCUAUAGACAUCCCCCAGAGAGGCACAGUGACCGAUAGACACCCCACCGCAACCCAGGGCUACUCCAAAGUGACUCACAGAUGCCCCACAGAGACUCAUAGAUCCUCAUAAUGAUCCACUGCGACCUACAGAUACCCCACAGACACCCUAUAGCAAGCCCUGGACCCCCUGUAGUGUGCCACAGCCACCCAUAGACACCCCAUAGAGACCCACAGGAACUGCUAGAUACCCUAUAGACCCACAUGUGGCCCCAUGACAACCCAUAGAGCCCUAUACACACCCUGCACUCCCACAUAGCACCCUAUAGACCCCCUCCCCACUGCCCCAUAGUUCCCUAUAGAUGCACAGCAUAUGCCUCAUGGCAUUUAUUGACUUAUGGUGGUGUGAUGUCACCAGGACCUUGAUGACAUCAUCAGCAUCAUCAGUGGCACGGCACCCUAUAGGGACCCCCAAGAGCCCGAUGGGGGUUCCCCAAGUGCCCCAUGGGGCUCCCAAUACUCCCCCGCACCCCAUAAGUACCCCAACACCAAUCAGGUUUUUUUACUGACUUUCAUUCAUUUUUAUUUGAGUUUUAUUUAGGGUUGUUCACUUUUAUUCAGUUUUAUUCACUGUUUAACCACUUCAUUGACUUUAAUGCGCUUUUUAUUCACUUCUUUCCCGUUUUCUUCAGAUUUAAUUUAGUCACUUAUAUUAAGUUUUUUUUUUAGGUAUCCCUUAGUGACCCAGAGCAACCCAUGGACACCUCCUAGAGCCCCUCAGAGCACAGUAGAUCCCCUAUAGAGCCACUCAGCCUCAUAGCCUCCCUGUAGACAUCCCAUAGGGUCCCAGAGCGACCCGUAGCCAUCCCAGAGCAGCUCUUAGCAACCCACAGACACCCCAUAGUUACGUAGACACCCAUAAACACCCAUCACAUAGUGACCCAUAGGCAGUCCCCAGCCAUCCACAGCACCCCAUAGAGGCCCACAGCAACUCCUGGAUACCCUAUACACCCACACAUAGCCCCAUGAUGACCCAUAGACACCCUCCACUGCCACAUAGCACCCCAUACACACCCCCCAUAGUUCCCUAUAGAUGCACAACACACACCCCACGGCUUUUAUUGACUUACGGUGUGACGUCACCAGGACUGCGAUGACAGCAGCAGCAGCAGCAUCGGCAACCACCACGGCACCACAUAGGGCCCCCAUUACCCCGUCGCGCCCCGUAAGUACCCCAACACCAAUCGUUUUUUUAUUUGCUUUCAUGCAUUUUUAUGAACUUUCAUUCACUUUUAUUCGAGAUUCAUUCAGGCUUGUUCACUUUUAUUCCUUUUUUUUUUGCUUUGUAAUAAUUUAUAAUCACAUUAUUCACUUUUGCUUUUUAUUGUCUUUACGCAGUUUUAUUCAGCUUUAUUGGCUUUUUUAUUCAUUUUUUCUUCAGAUUUAUUUGCUUUCUAGUCUCUUUUUUUUAAAUAACUUUUUUUUGUUUUUAAAUGCCCCACAGCGACCCAGAGAAACUCAUAGAGCUCCCCAGCCUCUAUAGACCCCCCAUAGAGAUGCACAGCAACCACUAGAGACUCAUAGAGACCCCAUAGUGAUCACAUUAUGGUGGGUCUGGGUGGAGUGUGAGGCGAAGGCGGGGUUAAUAAAGGCCUGGGGGUGUGGUU